This 332-nucleotide ribosomal RNA is filed under the name uncultured eukaryote. Its description in RNAcentral is "partial 18S ribosomal RNA". It matches the Rfam family "Eukaryotic small subunit ribosomal RNA", at positions 1470 to 1796 of the family's 1831-position model. The record is from RNAcentral.
CCCUUAGAUGUUCUGGGCUGCACACGUGCUACACUGGCAGGUUCAGCGAGCUUCAUGCCCUGAUCUGAAAGGAAUGGGAAAUCUUUUCAAAACCUGCCGUGCUUGGGAUAGAUGUUUGCAAUUAUUCAUCUUCAACGAGGAUUGCCUUGUAAGCGCACGUCAUCAGCGUGCAUUGAAUACGACCCUGUAUUCUGUACACACCGCCCGUCGCUCCUACCGAUUGAAGUUUUCGGUGAGUUGACAGGAGGAUUUUUUUGAAACUGAUUCGCCAGUGGAUUUUAGAUCCAAAUGCCAACGAAUCGAUGGCUUUAGAGGAAGGAGAAGUCGUAACA